RNAcentral lists this ribosomal RNA (333 nucleotides) under Triticum aestivum (bread wheat). RNAcentral describes it as "partial small subunit ribosomal RNA". The record is from RNAcentral. Lineage: Eukaryota; Viridiplantae; Streptophyta; Magnoliopsida; Poales; Poaceae.
AUGUACAGCUUUUUGGGCAAAACUUUUAAAAGGGAAGUUGAUGUAUAUGUUGUUAUGCGUAGGGGUAGUCCCUUGGCACAAGCUAGGGAUGAUAGAUGUUGCUUCAUUGUUUUGUUGGACAAAAUGGAAGAAAGAAAUGUUGUGAUGAUGAGUCGAAACCUGGGUGCAAAGGGUGGCCGUAGUUCAUCUUUCUGGAAAAGGGAGGCAUGCACCGCACAGCAGGUUGUUAUUAGUAUUAUCAGUAACUCUGCGGGGAUGAUGUUCUGUUGGACCGUAGCCGUGUCGAUUCGGUUAGGGUAUGAGAAAUAUAUAUUGCCCUGGUGGUUAUUGUAA